GACGAACGCUGGCGGCGCGCCUAACACAUGCAAGUCGAACGAGAGAUGAGGAGCUUGCUCUUCAAAUCGAGUGGCGAACGGGUGAGUAACGCGUGAGGAACCUGCCUCAAAGAGGGGGACAACAGUUGGAAACGACUGCUAAUACCGCAUAAGCCCACAGCUCGGCAUCGAGCAGGGGGAAAAGGAGUGAUCCGCUUUGAGAUGGCCUCGCGUCCGAUUAGCUGGUUGGUGAGGUAACGGCCCACCAAGGCGACGAUCGGUAGCCGGACUGAGAGGUUGAACGGCCACAUUGGGACUGAGACACGGCCCAGACUCCUACGGGAGGCAGCAGUGGGGAAUAUUGCACAAUGGGGGAAACCCUGAUGCAGCGACGCCGCGUGGAGGAAGAAGGUCUUCGGAUUGUAAACUCCUGUUGUUGAGGAAGAUAAUGACGGUACUCAACAAGGAAGUGACGGCUAACUACGUG
This 466-nucleotide ribosomal RNA is filed under the name uncultured bacterium. RNAcentral describes it as "bacterial SSU rRNA". It matches the Rfam family "Bacterial small subunit ribosomal RNA", at positions 28 to 507 of the family's 1533-position model. The record is from RNAcentral.